GCUGGGCAUAGUGGCAGAUGCCUGUAAUCCCAGCUACUCAGGAGGCUGAGGCAGGAGAAUCACUUGAACCUGGGAGGUGGAGAUUGCAGUGAGCCGAGAUCACAACACUGCAAUCUAGCCUGGGUGACAGAGUGAGACUCUGUCUCAA
Molecule: small RNA, 148 nt
Filed under: Macaca fascicularis (crab-eating macaque)
Lineage: Eukaryota; Metazoa; Chordata; Mammalia; Primates; Cercopithecidae
Description: Metazoan signal recognition particle RNA (ENSMFAG00000063313.1)
Source: Rfam by way of RNAcentral